CCCGACACCAAGGGAGUAUAUUUUUCUAAUCUGCAAGGAAGCCCCUAUCUCCAUCCUCCUUCUCCCUCUACAACCCCUUUCUAAUUCUCUCACAUCUCCAAGUUCCCUAAGUGUUGAGGCUUUAAAAAAUCAAAGCAGAAAUUCUUGCAUGGUGUAUCUUCUUACUACCCUGCAAGUAACACAUCUCCCCCCAAAGACUGGAAAGCACAGUCAGAUAUUUUUUUGAAAAGGCAAAAGAUAAAGAAGAAAUUGCUGGACAGGAAAAAAAAAAAAAAAAAGGCCUAAACUGCUAUUUCAAAAUACUCUCUGGCCCUGAGUGCAAAUGUACUUGUGUCACAGCCCCACUUAAUUGCUUCCUAUUGCCCUUGGAAUCAAGUUCAAAUGCAUCUCACGGUCUUGGGGGGUUUUGCCUGAUAUCAUCCCUGCUUCCCUCUGCAAGUUCUCUAAUCCCCCUCUCUCCUGUUGCUCGGACACUCUGGAUAGUCCUCCUGCCUUUAGUAAAAGACACUGGUCCUGGGCUUGGAAUGCUCUGUGCCUGCCUCUCCCCCCACCUGGCUCACAGCUAGCCCGCAUCCUCAGGGCUAAAAUAUGCAUCUUCGGGAGGCUGCCUUGCCCCCCCAAGGUUUGCUCCAUCAUUCUGGGAUCUCACAGCUUCACCUGUGUGGCUCCUUCCCUGCCUGCGUUGUGUGCCUGUUCAGCGUCUGGAAAUUCCACAAGGCUUGUGUGUGUGUGUGUGUCUGUGUGUGUGUUUGUCUAUUCCGGCUUCUCUGUGCCCUCCUUCCCCCGCCCCCCAUGGAGCAAUAAAUGAGGAUAUGCAUUUAAACCAAGCUCAUCUAUGAAGCAUUUUACCCACACUUAUAUUUAUCCUUACUAGAGAUUUGCUUUUCAUUCAGAAUAUUCUCAUGUUUAUUCUUGGACUUCUUCCUACAAAUGUCUGCACAGCCUAGUUUCUGUGGGAGCAAAGGCGAGGAGAGGGGAGAAGGGCGGGGGAGGGAGACUGCACUUUUGUUCACAGAAGCAAUGGACCCCAGAAUAGCAGGGCUCUGGGAGCCAGGACACUGAGGCUCAGCUAUUUUUAGGGGACAUUUGUUGGUUUUUAACACGUUGGAGGCUUGUUUCAGAGAUCUCCACUCUCUGCAAAAAAAGGGAAAAAAAAAAGGAAAGAAACAGGAAAUGAAAAAGUCAGCAAAAAGAAGGUCAGACAAAGUUCCAAAGGCCUCCAACAUCAAUAUUUUUUUUAAAGGAGGGAAAAAAAGCCAACUUUUUUUUAAUGAAAAGAAAACCCUGUUUUAUUAACUGAUGAUAGCUUUAUGACAGUUGUGUGAUCUGGUCUAUAAUUUUUAAGUCAUUCUUGAACUUGUCCCUCUGGAAUCUCUCCUCUAGUUGCUCAAGAACUAAAAUCUCAACAGCAUGAUUUCUGUGCUGCAAACUGACAGCUCGGGCUCCUGGCACAGGGCUAUUCACAAGGCCAAGCAGAUGUGAACUGCAUGCGUGGGGACAUUCCCAUACCCGGGUGUCACACUUCCAAAGAUUAUGUGACAUAAUGGUGCAAAAACAAAAUGAAAUGACUCUGGUCCCGGCACAUAAAUAAUACUUUAAUAUUGCCAGAAGUUGUCUCUCUUUCUCUUUUCUUUCCUCCUAAUGUUUAAUGAGUUCCCUUCUCUCUACUAAGCACAGAGUCAAGCCCUAGAUAUUUCCAAAACGGAACACUGAAAUCUUGACUUUGAAAAAGAACAGUGCAAUCAUAUCAAAGUGUGAUUUUCCUAAAAACAGGGACGUUUUCAAAAAGAAAUCCUCUGAAAGUAGGAAGUUAUUCUUCUCAACCUUAAGAUUAUUUCUCCUCGUAUAGUAGAUGACUGAGGAUUCCCAAGGGCAGGAACAUACAUUCUACUUAGAUAAAAUACUUAGAGACUUUAAAGAGUCAUAAAUAAAGAUGCAAAAACAUCCUGGUAUUGUAUUCUCACAUCUGAGAAUUUAUCCAGUGAAAAUUAAUCCUCAAGAUGGAGAAAGCGUUAUGCACAAAGAUGUCCAAUGUAAUUUUAUUUCAAAGAGGAAAACAACCUAAUGCCUUUAAACAAAUUAUUGGUUUAAUGCAGUACUAUACAAGCAUUUAAAAUAAGAUAUACAGGGAGUUCCUGUUGUGGCUCAGUGGUAAUGAACCCGACUAGUAUCCAUGAGGAUGUGGGUUCCAUCCCUGGCCCCACUCAGUGGGUUAAGGAUCUGGUGUCGCUGUGAGGUGUGUUGUAGUCGAAGAUGGGGCUCAGGUCCCGUGUUGCUGUGGCUGUGGCUGUGGCAUAGGCCAGCAGCUGCAGCUCUGAUUUAGCCCCUAGCCUGGGAACUUCCAUAUGCCAUGGGUGUG
This 2359-nucleotide long non-coding RNA is filed under the name Sus scrofa (pig). RNAcentral describes it as "lncRNA (ENSSSCG00065036391.1)". The record is from RNAcentral. Lineage: Eukaryota; Metazoa; Chordata; Mammalia; Artiodactyla; Suidae.